UGGCGGACUGAUGAGUAACGCUUCCGUAACGUCCCCUUUAGCUGCAAAUAGCCUUAAGAAUUUAAUGAUAAUACCGAAUAACCUGCUCUAUAUACUAGGUAGAGCAGGAAAGGAUCUCUUGAUUCUCUGAAGACACGCCCCACGUACUAAUAGCUAGUUGGUGAGGUACCGCUCCACCACGGCGAGGUUAUUAACCCGCCCUAAGAGGGUGAUCGGUCACAUUGCGACUGAGAUACGGCCCAGACUCCUACGGGAGGCAGCAGCUAAGAAUAUUCCGCAAUGGACGAAAGUCUAACGGAGCGACUCCGCGUCGAUGAUGAAGCUCGGAAGAUUGUAAAAUCCUUAUAUAACUGAGGAAUAAGCAGUGUGAGAGAAACGCACUGUAGUGACUGUACGUUAUGAGUAGGCAACGACUACUAACGUGCCAGCAGCCGCGGUAACACGUAGGUUGCAAGCGUUGUUCGGAAUUAUUGGGCGUAAAGGGACAUGUAGGCGGUUUUGCAAGCUUGGUGUGAAAUCUCGGAGCUCAACUCCGAAAUUGCCUUGAGACCUGCAUGACUGGAGUCACUGAGGGGCAAUCAGAAUUCCUGGUGUAGGGGUGAAAUCUGUAGAUAUCAGGAAGAAUACCAAUGGCGAAGGCAGGUUACCAGCAGAUGACUGACGCUGAGGUGCGAAGGUGCGGGGAGCAAACAGGAUUAGAUACCCUGGUAGUCCGCACAGUCAACGAUGUACACUAGAUGUCUGCACACAAGUGUGGGUGUCGAAGCAAACGCGAUAAGUGUACCGCCUGGGGAGUAUGCCCGCAAGGGUGAAACUCAAAGGAAUUGACGGGGGCCCGCACAAGCGGUGGAGCAUGUGGUUUAAUUCGAUGGUACGCGAGGAACCUUACCUGGGUUUGACAUACAGAGGAAUGAUAUAGAGAUAUAUCAGCGUAGCAAUACGUCUCUGAACAGGUGCUGCAUGGCUGUCGUCAGCUCGUGCCGUGAGGUGUUGGGUUAAGUCCCGCAACGAGCGCAACCCCUACUACCAGUUACUAGCAGGUAAUGCUGAGGACUCUGGCGGAACUGCCGGUGACAAACCGGAGGAAGGUGGGGAUGACGUCAAGUCAUCAUGGCCCUUAUGUCCAGGGCUACACACGUGCUACAAUGGUUGGUACAGAGUGAUGCGAAGCGGUGACGUGGAGCAAAACGCAUAAAACCAAUCGUAGUUCGGAUUGGAGUCUGAAACUCGACUUCAUGAAGUCGGAAUCUCUAGUAAUCGCACAUCAGCACGAUUCGGUGAAUACGUUACCGGCCCUCGUACACACCUCCCGUCACACCAUCCGAGUGGGGGGUACCCGAAGUCGGUAGGCUAACCGCAAGGAGGCCGCUGCCGAAGGUACGCUUCGUGAGGGGGGUGAAGUCGUAACAAGGUAGUCGUACUGGAAAGUGCGGUCGGAUCACCUCC
RNAcentral lists this ribosomal RNA (1446 nucleotides) under uncultured bacterium. Its description in RNAcentral is "16S ribosomal RNA". It matches the Rfam family "Bacterial small subunit ribosomal RNA". The record is from RNAcentral.